ACCAUAUUUUCUGGAAUCAAAGAAUGUAGGUCAGUUUCGGAAAAGGAUUUCCCAAGGUUUGGAACCAUUGCGGCUGGGAUGAUGUCACAGAAUGACUGACAGAGUUGCCUAGAGCAAGACUCGUCAGCAGAGUCCUGGGUAGGUCAUGCUGCUGAGAUUCUCCUAAUGGAAGAAAGGAGGGGCUGCUGUGGUGGCACCAUAAUUUCACUGUACUCCCUGUUCUGUCUUCUGCAUUCCGCUAACAGUUAUUGAGCAUCCACUCGGUGAUCAGCACCGUGACGACAGCAGGAACCCGGCGCCGGCAGCUUCCAUGUACAGUAACCUGGAGAGCUGAAAAGUACACAUAAUGCUGCGACAGGUUUCAUUUUCUUACAUCCAUACCACUUAACAGCCAGGUGAUGGUGAACCCAGUUAGCAUCUCUGCCCCAGGUUCAUUCGACUGUGAAGGAAAAACUGAAAAAUCCUCCGUCUCUUAAGAUUUUUUGUGAAGAUUGAAGGCGUUAACCAUGUGUGCUUCUUUGAGUGGGGAAAGGGAGCCAAGUGGUUAGUUAUCACGAACAUCCCUGGAAAAGAUUCUUCUGAGGCACCUGUCUGAAGCACUAGGAGGAAAUGCCACAGCCCAUGUGGCCACUGGUUGCCACACAAUUUGAUUCUCUACUCUUGGGAGGGAAUAAAUCAUUUUAGGGAUGGGAACCAGAGGCUAAAACAAAACGAAUUCCCAAACUCAUGGCAGAGCAGAUGCAGUCCUCUGACUCCAGGACUCAUUUCCUUCCCACUUCAACACAUUGACAGGGCAACUGAUGUAGAAGCUCCUCAAUGAAAUUCUAGAAUCAACCGCAGAUUUGAGUGUUAUCUGGGUUGGCCUUUGACUCCAGAUUUGUUGGAGUUUUUCUUCUUUCUUUAAAAGAUUUUAUUUAUUCAUGACAGACACACAGAGAGAGGCAGAGACAGGCAGAGGGAGAAGCAGGCUCCCUGCGGGGAGCCUGAUGUGGUCUCAA
Long non-coding RNA from Canis lupus familiaris (dog), 998 nucleotides. RefSeq lists it as uncharacterized. NCBI's taxonomy places the organism in Eukaryota, Metazoa, Chordata, Mammalia, Carnivora, Canidae. The record is from RefSeq and is a predicted model, not a curated record. The transcript has 3 exons.